This 143-nucleotide ribosomal RNA is filed under the name Monilinia padi. Lineage: Eukaryota; Fungi; Ascomycota; Leotiomycetes; Helotiales; Sclerotiniaceae. The record is from RNAcentral.
UCAACCCUCAAGCGCAGCUUGGUAUUGAGCCCAUGUCAGCGAUGGCAGGCUCCAAAGUCAGUGGCGGCGCCGCUGGGCCCUGAACGUAGUAAUAUCUCUCGUUACAGGCGCUCGGCGUGCUUCUGCCAAAACCCCAACUUUCU